GCGUACGUAGCUCAGCUGGAUAGAGUACCUGGCUACGAACCAGGCGGUCAGAGGUUCGAAUCCUCUCGGACGCGCCA
This 77-nucleotide transfer RNA is filed under the name Vibrio cholerae. Its description in RNAcentral is "tRNA-Arg". It matches the Rfam family "tRNA". Rfam says of the family: Transfer RNA (tRNA) molecules are approximately 80 nucleotides in length. Their secondary structure includes four short double-helical elements and three loops (D, anti-codon, and T loops). Lineage: Bacteria; Pseudomonadati; Pseudomonadota; Gammaproteobacteria; Vibrionales; Vibrionaceae. The record is from RNAcentral. RNAcentral also lists the same sequence under 1 other name.